AUGAAACAUCAAGAGCAGUUAAUUCUGCACCAACCGAGCAUUGACAGCUACGGUGGUCCAGUUACGAUGUGGAAGUAUUAAUUUAUUAACUUCAAAAAAAUGUCAUUAU
This 109-nucleotide non-coding RNA is filed under the name Prevotella sp. Its description in RNAcentral is "SAM-I-IV sequence". It matches the Rfam family "SAM-I/IV (S-adenosyl methionine) riboswitch aptamer". From Rfam's summary of the family: It is found upstream of a number of genes which code for proteins involved in methionine or cysteine biosynthesis. It has been found mostly in the order Actinomycetales. RNAcentral also lists the same sequence under 1 other name. Lineage: Bacteria; Pseudomonadati; Bacteroidota; Bacteroidia; Bacteroidales; Prevotellaceae. The record is from RNAcentral.